This 497-nucleotide ribosomal RNA is filed under the name uncultured bacterium. RNAcentral's name for it is "partial 16S ribosomal RNA". It matches the Rfam family "Bacterial small subunit ribosomal RNA", at positions 28 to 507 of the family's 1533-position model. The record is from RNAcentral.
GAUGAACGCUGGCGGCGUGCCUAAUACAUGCAAGUCGAGCGAACGGACGAGAAGCUUGCUUUUCUGAUGUUAGCGGCGGACGGGUGAGUAACACGUGGAUAACCUACCUAUAAGACUGGGAUAACUUCGGGAAACCGGAGCUAAUACCGGAUAAUAUUUUGAACCGCAUGGUUCAAAAGUGAAAGACGGUCUUGCUGUCACUUAUAGAUGCAUCCGCGCUGCAUUAGCUAGUUGGUAAGGUAACGGCUUACCAAGGCAACGAUGCAUAGCCGACCUGAGAGGGGGAUCGGCCACACUGGAACUGAGACACGGUCCAGACUCCUACGGGAGGCAGCAGUAGGGAAUCUUCCGCAAUGGGCGAAAGCCUGACGGAGCAACGCCGCGUGAGUGAUGAAGGUCUUCGGAUCGUAAAACUCUGUUAUUAGGGAAGAACAUAUGUGUAAGUAACUGUGCACAUCUUGACGGUACCUAAUCAGAAAGCCACGGCUAACUACGUG